GUAGGUGGCAAGCGUUGUCCGGGAAUUAUUGGGGCGUAAAGCGCGCGCAGGCGGUUCUUUAAGUCUGAUGUGAAAGCCCACGGGCUCAACCGCGGAGGGUCAUUGGAAACUGGAGAACUUGAGUACAGAAGAGGAAAGCGGAAUUCCACGUGUAGCGGUGAAAUGCGUAGAGAUGUGGAGGAACACCAGUGGCGAAGGCGGCUUUCUGGUCUGUAACUGACGCUGAGGCGCGAAAGCGUGGGGAGCAAACAGGAUUAGAUACCCUGGUAGUCCACGCCGUAAACGAUGAGUGCUAAGUGUUAGGGGGUUUCCGCCCCUUAGUGCUGCAGCUAACGCAUUAAGCACUCCGCCUGGGGAGUACGGCCGCAAAGGCUGA
This 376-nucleotide ribosomal RNA is filed under the name uncultured organism. RNAcentral's name for it is "partial 16S ribosomal RNA". It matches the Rfam family "Bacterial small subunit ribosomal RNA", at positions 527 to 897 of the family's 1533-position model. The record is from RNAcentral.